GAUGUCCUCUUCUGACCUCCAGACCAGU
RNAcentral lists this non-coding RNA (28 nucleotides) under Rattus norvegicus (Norway rat). The record is from RNAcentral. Lineage: Eukaryota; Metazoa; Chordata; Mammalia; Rodentia; Muridae.